UGGGGUUGCUGAGAUUCGAACUCAGGUUACGGCGUCCCGAACGCCGAGGGAUGGACCAGGCUACCCCACAACCCC
RNAcentral lists this transfer RNA (75 nucleotides) under Methanothrix harundinacea 6Ac. Its description in RNAcentral is "Methanosaeta harundinacea 6Ac tRNA-OTHER". The record is from RNAcentral. Lineage: Archaea; Methanobacteriati; Methanobacteriota; Methanomicrobia; Methanotrichales; Methanotrichaceae.